RNAcentral lists this unclassified non-coding RNA (307 nucleotides) under plant metagenome. RNAcentral describes it as "partial contains 5.8S ribosomal RNA, internal transcribed spacer 2, and large subunit ribosomal RNA". The stretch from base 1 to 105 matches the Rfam family "5.8S ribosomal RNA", at positions 50 to 154 of the family's 154-position model. The record is from RNAcentral.
GAAAUGCGAUAAGUAGUGUGAAUUGCAGAAUUCAGUGAAUCAUCGAAUCUUUGAACGCACAUUGCGCCCUUUGGUAUUCCAAAGGGCAUGCCUGUUCGAGCGUCAUUUGUACCCUCAAGCUUUGCUUGGUGUUGGGCGUCUUGUCUCUAGCUUUGCUGGAGACUCGCCUUAAAGUAAUUGGCAGCCGGCCUACUGGUUUCGGAGCGCAGCACAAGUCGCACUCUCUAUCAGCAAAGGUCUAGCAUCCACUAAGCCUUUUUUCAACUUUUGACCUCGGAUCAGGUAGGGAUACCCGCUGAACUUAAGC